Molecule: ribosomal RNA, 417 nt
Filed under: uncultured bacterium
Lineage: Bacteria
Description: bacterial SSU rRNA
Rfam family: Bacterial small subunit ribosomal RNA
Source: RNAcentral
GAUGAACGCUGGCGGCGUGCUUAACACAUGCAAGUCGAACGAAGCAUUUAAGACGGAUUCUUUCGGGAUGAAGACUUUUAUGACUGAGUGGCGGACGGGUGAGUAACGCGUGGGUAACCCUGCCUCACACAGGGGGAUAGCAGUUGGAAACGGCUGAUAAUACCGCAUAAGCGCACAGUACCGCAUGGUACAGUGUGAAAAACUCCGGUGGUGUGAGAUGGACCCGCGUCUGAUUAGCUUGUUGGCAGGGUAACGGCCUACCAAGGCAGCGAUCAGUAGCCGACCUGAGAGGGUGACCGGCCACAUUGGGACUGAGACACGGCCCAGACUCCUACGGGAGGCAGCAGUGGGGAAUAUUGCACAAUGGGGGAAACCCUGAUGCAGCAACGCCGCGUGAAGGAAGAAGGUCUUACGGGA